Molecule: unclassified non-coding RNA, 162 nt
Filed under: uncultured Meliniomyces
Lineage: Eukaryota; Fungi; Ascomycota; Leotiomycetes; Helotiales; Helotiaceae
Description: sequence contains ITS1
Source: RNAcentral
AAGAAUCGCCCCGUUUUUUGAAAUGGGUUCUAUUCCCAAACCGUGUUUAUAUACCUUUGUUGCUUUGGCGGGCCGCCUUCGGGCGUCGGCUCCGGCUGACUGCGCCCGCCAGAGGACCCAAACUCGUUUGUUUAGUGAUGUCUGAGUACUAUAUAAUAGUUA